ACGCUGGCGGCGUGCCUAAUACAUGCAAGUCGAACGAGAGCGACCGGUGCUUGCACUGGUCAAUCUAGUGGCGAACGGGUGGGUAACACGUGGGUAACCUGCCCAUCAGAGGGGGAUAACAUUCGGAAACGGAUGCUAAAACCGCAUAGGUCCUUUAACCGCAUGGUUGAAGGAGGAAAAGAGGCGCAAGCUUCUGCUGAUGGAUGGACCCGCGGUGCAUUAGCUAGUUGGUGAGGUAACGGCUCACCAAGGCCGUGAUGCAUAGCCGACCUGAGAGGGUGAUCGGCCACAUUGGGACUGAGACACGGCCCAAACUCCUACGGGAGGCAGCAGUAGGGAAUCUUCCGCAAUGGACGCAAGUCUGACGGAGCAACGCCGCGUGAGUGAAGAAGGUUUUCGGAUCGUAAAACUCUGUUGUUAGAGAAGAACAAGUGCUAGAGUAACUGUUAGCGCCUUGACGGUAUCUAACCAGAAAGCCACGGCUAACUACGUGCCAGCAGCCGCGGUAAUACGUAGGUGGCAAGCGUUGUCCGGAUUUAUUGGGCGUAAAGCGAGCGCAGGCGGUUCCUUAAGUCUGAUGUGAAAGCCCCCGGCUCAACCGGGGAGGGUCAUUGGAAACUGGGGAACUUGAGUGCAGAAGAGGAGAGUGGAAUUCCAUGUGUAGCGGUGAAAUGCGUAGAUAUAUGGAGGAACACCAGUGGCGAAGGCGACUCUCUGGUCUGUAACUGACGCUGAGGCUCGAAAGCGUGGGUAGCAAACAGGAUUAGAUACCCUGGUAGUCCACGCCGUAAACGAUGAGUGCUAAGUGUUGGAGGGUUUCCGCCCUUCAGUGCUGCAGUUAACGCAUUAAGCACUCCGCCUGGGGAGUACGACCGCAAGGUUGAAACUCAAAGGAAUUGACGGGGACCCG
This 910-nucleotide ribosomal RNA is filed under the name uncultured bacterium. Its description in RNAcentral is "bacterial SSU rRNA". It matches the Rfam family "Bacterial small subunit ribosomal RNA", at positions 33 to 923 of the family's 1533-position model. The record is from RNAcentral.